ACCUAUCAAACACAGCUUAGCCUAGCCUACUUUAAAUGUUCUGAGAACCCUUACAUUAUCCUAUGGUUGAGCAAAAUCACUCCCACAAAGCCUAUUUUAUAAUAAAGUAUUGAAUAUCUCAUGAAAUGUAUAAAUACUGCGUUGAAGUAUUGUUUCUACUGAAUGUAUAUUGAUUUUGCACCAUCAAAAGAUUGAAAAAUUGUAAGUCAAACAAUUAUAAGUUAGACUAUCUGUAAUGUGCCCUUGUGUGGGCCUUUUGUGUUUAUUCUACUUGGAGUUUGUUGAGCUUCUUGGAAAGUUUGUUGAGCUUCAGGUUUAUGUAUUUAAUCAAAGUUUGAGAGUUUGCAGCCAUUAAUUCUUCAAAAAAUCUUUCUACCCCUUUCUCUUCUGCUUCUGGGACUCCAUGAUGUGUAUCUUGAUCUCCAAUCCCCUUCAUCCUUUUUUUCCCCCUUAGGUCAAUAAUUCAGUUGUUCUACCUUCAUGUUUUUUUGAUUAUUCUAUUUGCUUGAAUAUGCUCUUGAACUCCUUUAGUGAACUUUUUUAGUUCAGCUAUGUGCUUUCCAGCCCCAGAAUUUUUUUU
Long non-coding RNA from Sapajus apella (tufted capuchin), 580 nucleotides. RefSeq lists it as uncharacterized. NCBI's taxonomy places the organism in Eukaryota, Metazoa, Chordata, Mammalia, Primates, Cebidae. The record is from RefSeq and is a predicted model, not a curated record. The transcript has 3 exons.